UACGGAGGAUGCGAGCGUUAUCCGGAUUUAUUGGGUUUAAAGGGUGCGCAGGCGGGUUUUUAAGUCAGCGGUGAAAGUUUGCGGCUCAACCGUAAAAUUGCCGUUGAAACUGGAGAUCUUGGGUGCAAACGAGGUGGGCGGAAUGCAACGUGUAGCGGUGAAAUGCUUAGAUAUGUUACAGAACCCCGAUUGCGAAGGCAGCUCACCAGCAUGCAACUGACGCUCAGGCACGAAAGCGUGGGUAUCAAAC
This 250-nucleotide ribosomal RNA is filed under the name uncultured prokaryote. RNAcentral's name for it is "partial 16S ribosomal RNA". It matches the Rfam family "Bacterial small subunit ribosomal RNA", at positions 524 to 773 of the family's 1533-position model. The record is from RNAcentral.